Molecule: ribosomal RNA, 718 nt
Filed under: uncultured bacterium
Lineage: Bacteria
Description: bacterial SSU rRNA
Rfam family: Bacterial small subunit ribosomal RNA
Source: RNAcentral
UGAACGCUGGCGGCUGCCUUACACAUGUAAGUCGAACGGUAGCUGGGGGGCAACCUUGGUGGGGAGUGGCGAACGGGUGAGUAAUAUAUCGGAACGUGACCUAGAGUGGGGGAUAACUAGUCGAAAGACUAGCUAAUACCGCAUACGAUCUACGGAUGAAAGUGGGGGAUCGCAAGACCUCCUGCUCAUGGACCGGUCGAUAUCUGAUUAGCUAGUUGGUAGGGAAAAAGCCUACCAAGGGAUCGAUCAUUAGCUGGUCUGAGAGGACGACCAGCCACACUGGGACUGAGACACGGCCCAAACUCCUACGGGAGGCAGCUGUGGGGAAUUUUGGACAAUGGGGGCAACCUUGAUCCAGCAAUGCCGCGUGAGUGAAGAAGGCCUUCGGGUUGUAAAGCUCUUUUGUCAGGGAAGAAACGGUGGACUCUAAUACAGACCACUAAUGACGGUACCUGAAGAAUAAGCACCGGUUAACUACCUGCCAGCAGCCGCGGUAAUACGUAGGGUGCAAGCGUUAAUCGGAAUUACUGGGCGUAAAGCGUGCGCAGGCGGCUAUGUAAGACAGGUGUGAAAUCCCCGGGCUUAACCUGGGAAUUGCAUUUGUGACUGCAUGGCUAGAGUGUGUCAGAGGGGGGUAGAAUUCCUCGUGUAGCAGUGAAAUGCGUAGAGAUGUGGAGGAAUACCGAUGGCGAAGGCAGCCCCCCUGGGAUAACACUGA